Long non-coding RNA from Xenia sp. Carnegie-2017, 400 nucleotides. RefSeq lists it as uncharacterized. The record is from RefSeq and is a predicted model, not a curated record. NCBI's taxonomy places the organism in Eukaryota, Metazoa, Cnidaria, Anthozoa, Malacalcyonacea, Xeniidae. The transcript is spliced from 2 exons.
AUGGAGAGUUUUUCAUAAAAUUGAUGGAUUUGAUUGACAUAUGUACAACAAUUUUAAUGCCUUUAAGCAAGAGAUAAAGGAAAUCAGAAUAGAUUUUCUUAAUAGAAUGGUCAAUGGAUUUAUUACUUAAUAGCUGACAUUACACGACCUACUGCUACAUGAAGAAGUUUUUGUGAUGAAGACGCAGUUAUUUUAGAAUGUUGAUCAGUAUCUUUAUAAAACAUUAAAGUACUUCUAUGUUUGAUGUUUGAAUUCAGGUUUUUUGACUUGUUAUUUUGCAAAGCAUCUGCAUCAUUAUUGUAAAUGAAACUUUGUAAUUUCAUCUUGUUUGUCAAAUCUGUAUACAUUUACCAAUAAAGUUGUUUUUAACUCUUUUUUAAUAAAAAACUUGGAAAGUUUU